This is a long non-coding RNA of Fundulus heteroclitus (mummichog), 431 nucleotides long. RefSeq lists it as uncharacterized. The record is from RefSeq and is a predicted model, not a curated record. NCBI's taxonomy places the organism in Eukaryota, Metazoa, Chordata, Actinopteri, Cyprinodontiformes, Fundulidae. The transcript has 4 exons.
CAUUUUUUGUUAAGAGUGUGAUAUAACUGUUUUACAGCAGACUCCUUUGCAUCACUGGAAUACAGUCCAAUGUCUGUGUCAGAUGAGCAAAGGACACAAAAAGCAAGCUCACGGUUUGUUAGUGACCCGCCAACCCAUUUCACCAGAGGGGCAGGAGUUCUGAAGUACAGUCGGGAGCCUGAAAGCAUGGACAUACUGGCAUCCCUCCCAGAGGUCCAGCAGCAAAGAAACUCCCCAAUAAAGUGUGCCUAUUGUGGGGAAAAUCCCUACCCCUCACUGGAUUCACCAGGGAUACAGGAUCCAGAGAUAGCGCCACGGUUCUGCUGUGCCCAGCGCCAGCAUCUGUGCCAGAAGCUGAAGAUAAAGAGAUUCCUGUUUGAGGCUGGAUGUGAGGGGAGGAUUUGUAAUCUGAUGUCGGAGAAUGACCAGCC